Condylura cristata (star-nosed mole) is the source of this 213-nucleotide long non-coding RNA. RefSeq lists it as uncharacterized. NCBI's taxonomy places the organism in Eukaryota, Metazoa, Chordata, Mammalia, Eulipotyphla, Talpidae. The record is from RefSeq and is a predicted model, not a curated record. The transcript is spliced from 4 exons.
AGGAAGAAGGCAGUGUGGAUACUGGAAGGUUAUGGACCUAUAGAUGGCAGGUAGUGGACACCCUGGGCCCUGAGACUCGGCAGCAUGUGCCUGCACUGUACUUCUGCCACCGAUGAUGCUAUCCAGGUCAACCCCGAAAUGUCAAAAUGGCAUCCUGCAGUAGCGUCCAUGAGAGGACAGGGCACAGGUAAGCGUAUUGAAGAUAUGCAAAAC